AGAGUUUGAUCAUGGCUCAGGACGAACGCUGGCGGCGUGCUUAACACAUGCAAGUCGAGCGGAACACUUUCUGUAGCAAUACAGAAAGUGUUCAGUGGCGUAAGGGUGCGUAACACGUGGGCAACCUGCCGAGAAGUGGGGGAUAGCUCGCCGAAAGGCGAAUUAAUACCGCAUGUGGUCAGUGAAACAUUUUCACCAGACCAAAGCCGGGGCAACCUGGCGCUUUUCGAUGGGCCCGCGGCCUAUCAGCUAGUUGGUGAGGUAAUAGCUUACCAAGGCAAUGACGGGUAGCUGGUCUGAGAGGACGACCAGCCACACUGGAACUGAGACACGGUCCAGACACCUACGGGUGGCAGCAGUCGAGAAUUUUUCUCAAUGGGGGAAACCCUGAAGGAGCGACGCCGCGUGGAGGAUGAAGGUCUUCGGAUUGUAAACUCCUGUCAUUGGUGAACAAGGUUCGCCGGUUAACUGCCGGUUGGGCUUGAUAGUAACCGAAGAGGAAGAGACGGCUAACUCUGUGCCAGCAGCGGCGGUAAUUC
This 539-nucleotide ribosomal RNA is filed under the name uncultured bacterium. RNAcentral's name for it is "bacterial SSU rRNA". It matches the Rfam family "Bacterial small subunit ribosomal RNA", at positions 8 to 526 of the family's 1533-position model. The record is from RNAcentral.